This 1003-nucleotide ribosomal RNA is filed under the name human gut metagenome. RNAcentral describes it as "bacterial LSU rRNA". It matches the Rfam family "Bacterial large subunit ribosomal RNA", at positions 1926 to 2925 of the family's 2925-position model. The record is from RNAcentral.
AACGGCGGCCGUAACUAUAACGGUCCUAAGGUAGCGAAAUUCCUUGUCAGGUAAGUUCUGACCCGCACGAAUGGCGUAAUGAUUUGGGCACUGUCUCGACAGCCCGCCCGGCGAAAUUGUAGUACUGGUGAAGAUGCCAGUUACCCGCAACUAGACGGAAAGACCCCAUGGAGCUUUACUGCAGUUUAAUACUGGGAAUCGGUAAUGCAUGUACAGGAUAGGUGGGAGACUAGGAAGCAUGGUCGUCAGGUCAUGUGGAGUCACCGGUGGGAUACCACUCUUGUAUUGCUGAUUUCCUAACCUGCGGCCGUGAAUCCGGUCGGGGGACACUGUUAGACGGGCAGUUUGACUGGGGCGGUCGCCUCCAAAAGAGUAACGGAGGCGCUCAAAGGUUCGUUCAGCACGGACGGAAAUCGUGCAUUGAGUGUAAACGCAUAAACGAGCCUAACUGCGAGACCGACGGGUCGAGCAGUAACGAAAGUUGGAGUUAGUGAUCCGGUGGUAUGUGAGUGGAAAUGCCAUCGCUCAACGGAUAAAAGCUACCCUGGGGAUAACAGGCUGAUCUCCCCCAAGCGUCCACAGCGACGGGGAGGUUUGGCACCUCGAUGUCGGCUCGUCGCAUCCUGGGGCUGUAUUCGGUCCCAAGGGUUUGGCUGUUCGCCAAUUAAAGCGGCACGCGAGCUGGGUUCAGAACGUCGUGAGACAGUUCGGUCCCUAUCCGUCGCGGGCGUAGGAAAUUUGAGAGGAUCUGCUCCUAGUACGAGAGGACCAGAGUGGACUUACCGCUGGUGUACCAGUUGUUCUGCCAAGAGCAUCGCUGGGUAGCUAUGUAGGGAAGGGAUAAACGCUGAAAGCAUCUAAGUGUGAAGCCCACCUCAAGAUGAGAUUUCCCAUGAUUUUAUAUCAGUAAGAGCCCUGAGAGAUGAUCAGGUUGAUAGGUUAGAAGUGGAAGUGUGGUGACACAUGUAGCGGACUAAUACUAAUAGCUCGAGGACUUAUCCAA